Molecule: non-coding RNA, 989 nt
Organism: Callorhinus ursinus (northern fur seal)
Lineage: Eukaryota; Metazoa; Chordata; Mammalia; Carnivora; Otariidae
Source: RefSeq, a predicted model, not a curated record
ACCAACUGAGCCACCCAGGCACCCCUACACUUACUCUGCUUGCUUACAGGGUAAAAUAAAAUAAAAUCAGAACCUGAGCCAGAAUGUUCUAGAGUUCCUUACCUUAAAAGCCACUGAAAAACAGGAUGCAUGUGUUUGAGGCUUAUUAUUUGGGCUGGCAUAUGAUUUAUCUUGCCAAACAUGGCACUCUUACCCCACAACAGGCUUAACUGUCCUGGGUAAACCAGGGUCGUGUAUUCACUCUACUAACAAUGGUGGUGGCAGUGGGGUGUAAUUUCCCAGAGUUGAGUGCUUGGCACAUUUCAUUCCUCAAGCUAAUAUGUAAUAAAGUCCCAUUGUAGGUGCUGUGAGAGAAAUAGAUACACAUCUUCUACCCUCAAGGAGUUUACAGUGUUGAGAAAGAGAUGGCUGUUACUGAGCCAAAACAAUACUGAAACAAUACUGCUCAGACCAAGGAACAGAAAAGAAGUUUAGUAAGUGGUUCCUAUGGAGACACUGAUGCUUGAUCUACGCAGUUACCUCCGUGUUCAAUUACUGAUGGUCUGUCGCAACUUGACAGAACUGAGAGGGGGUAACAUGCCCAGGAGCCAAGUAGGAGCCCAUUUGGAAGAGGAAAAAACCUCAGUCAGCUCAGGAGCCUGAGCCACUCCCUCAAGCCAAAGGUCAGAAACAAAGCAGAUUUGGGAGGCUACAAUCAAGGUCAUUUGAGAAGUAAGACCCGGUGUCUUACCCUUACCUUUGGGUGUCCACAUAGAAAUUUAUAGACACGGGAAAGGCUAGAUAAUGAGAAUGCUCCAUAAAGAGGCACCGUACUUCACCAGGGAGAAAGGCAUCCAAGUUGCUUCACAAAUGUUAAGAAAUAUGCCUAUUUAAUUGUAUGUUGCAUUUUCCCUGGUCUUUGUUUUAUUCAUUUCAUGUGCAGUGAUUAGAAAGAUAUAUUGUACAUUUUAUUAUCUCUUAUGUUUUCCAAUAAAUACAAACCUGGCAUA